AAGCAGAGAAGAGAAAAGAAGAUAGAAGAAGAGCACAUAGUGCCCCGGGGAGCAUGCCAAAAGAAUCUGUCCGUAAGAGAAGAAUUAUUAAAGAAAUUGAAUGAGUAUCUUUGUUACUUUGCAGUAGGCUACCAGCGGCAGGGAGUCCUUGAUGUGAGUAGACCUUGUAAGAUCUUCCGCAAGACCUUGUAAGAUCUACUGGGUAAGCUGGGCUUUAAUGUGCAACGGGGCAUUCAAAUUUUGGUUGAUUAGCAAGCAGCUUGAAAACAAGGU
Molecule: long non-coding RNA, 273 nt
Filed under: Daucus carota (carrot)
Lineage: Eukaryota; Viridiplantae; Streptophyta; Magnoliopsida; Apiales; Apiaceae
Description: long non-coding RNA (DCAR_LNC003209)
Source: RNAcentral